AACGAACGCUGGCGGCAUGCCUAACACAUGCCAGUCGAACGAGACCUUCGGGUCUAGUGGCGCACGGGUGCGUAACGCGUGGGAACCUGCCCUUAGGUUCGGAAUAACUCCCCGAAAGGGGUGCUAAUACCGGAUAAUGUCUUCGGACCAAAGAUUUAUCGCCUUUGGAUGGGCCCGCGUUGGAUUAGCUAGUUGGUAGUGUAAAAGCCUACCAAGGCGACGAUCCAUAGCUGGUCUGAGAGGAUGAUCAGCCACACUGGGACUGAGACACGGCCCAGACUCCUACGGGAGGCAGCAGUGGGGAAUAUUGGACAAUGGGCGAAAGCCUGAUCCAGCAAUGCCGCGUGAGUGAUGAAGGCCUUAGGGUUGUAAAGCUCUUUUACCCGGGAUGAUAAUGACAGUACCGGGAGAAUAAGCUCCGGCUAACUCCGUG
Molecule: ribosomal RNA, 433 nt
Filed under: uncultured bacterium
Lineage: Bacteria
Description: partial 16S ribosomal RNA
Rfam family: Bacterial small subunit ribosomal RNA
Source: RNAcentral